Molecule: long non-coding RNA, 1398 nt
Organism: Lycium ferocissimum
Lineage: Eukaryota; Viridiplantae; Streptophyta; Magnoliopsida; Solanales; Solanaceae
Exons: 5
Source: RefSeq, a predicted model, not a curated record
AGGCCCGGCACGUGACGCUUCUCAUCAAUCAGAAAACCCAUUUUUCUUUUUCCUCAUAUUUUUGGCUUAAAUCCUAUUUUCCCUACUUAUUUAGUAUUUGUUUUAGAAAAACAAUAGUCACUUACCCGCGCCGUUUCCUCUUUAUUUUUAUUUUUUCCCACGCAACGCUUCGUUACCUCUUCCUCUUCCAUUACAAUGCUUUCUCUUCUUUCUAUUUUAUCUCUCUGUUGCCCAAGCAAUCAAAUUUGCAUUGUUUAUUCAGUCCGUGUUGGCAUCACAGUUGUGAAGAGGAACCACAUCACAAAUUGUUCCCGACUUAAUUGGGGAGAAAUAGAAAGAAUGUGACAUGCUUAUUGUGACGCUCAUGAACUAUUCGAAAAGAUGCCCUAUAGAGAGAUCUUGGCCACGACUUCACGAAAAGGUGUUAUUUACUCAACAGAUGGAAAAUUCCCUACAAGGACGGCUUCAGUAAAGGGUGUUAUUUACUCAACAGAUGCAGGAAUAUGAUGUUGCAUCAAUUUGUUAUUGAUGAAAUCUUUUAUCUGAAGUUGAUUCGGGGAUUUACUUAGACUUUGGUGGUGUAAGGAAAGCCCGCAAGUACUUUAAUAUAAUCCGGAAGAUCAGAAGUUGUAUGCAUUUGUGACUUCAUUGGAGCAGGUUGUUUCAGCGUAAAGAAUGAUGACUUGAAGCAGGAAUUCUUUCGGUUAUAAGUUUUAUUAUUGUUCGGAAAAUUUGCUUUUGGAAUUGUCGUUUUUCUUCACACCUUUGUCUACUAAUUCUGGGAAGUUGCCACAACAAUAUUGAUCAACCAAAAGUUCAUAUAGAGGGAGAACCUCAGAUGAGACUAUGAAUGUAGGGUAUUACUUACAUAACUGUUCAUUUCCUGAAACUUUUCUCGAAUAAACUAUUGAUAUCCGAAAAUCAUGUGAGUAUUUAUGAAGUUCAGUUCGUUGUUUUUUUCGUUUUACUUUGAAUAUAAAUAGACAUGUAAUUUAGCGGCCAUUUGUUUCUCAGAAAACAAGUUUAAGAGAUCUUUUUAAUCUAUUAAAAAUUUAUGUGAUCUUCUGUUGACUACAUAUUAUGCUCGAUAUCAACUUAUGGUUUGAGAACAUGAAAGUUAACUACUGUUGUUCAUUUUUUGAAUGCCGAAGGAAGUAUUGAAUAAGAAGAUGCAAAGCAACGGGACUGAUUGGCAUGUCUUGAGGCGGGUCAUGAAAGGGAUCAAGACUGUUGACAUCCCGAAACCAUGUGAUGUUUGACUUGAUUUGCUUCAAAGCUGGUGUUUUCAUAGUAUAUGGCCAUGAGACUAUCCCCGCAUUAACUGCAGGAUUCAUGUUUGCAAAUGGCUGGUGGGGAAGAACUAGAUUUUAUUCUUUUGGUAUCAAAACUUAUAUAGGG